UAACUUUAAUGGUCCGUCAGGCUGAGGAAAUAUAAUUACGUGGCCUUUUUUGGCUGACUGUCUCUCUUGAGCUCUACUGCCAAUCAGCUUAACAAUGGAAACAUAAAGUCUACUUUUAGAUAUCAGUAAUUCUUCCACGAUUGUUAGAGGUUCUAAACCAAUGCGAUCAUAGUUCCCAAAGUCAAUUCCAGCAGCAAUGGCCAAUUUCGGUAUUGAUGGCUUACCAACCAUAAUGUUGCUGUGGCAUUUUGAACAAAUAGCAGCAGUUCCAUUUUUGACAAGCUCACGAUGCAAAUGAUAAAGAAGACCUAUUUAUUUCGCAAAAUUGGUUAGAGAUUAUAUUUUAAUUGCCAAACAAGCGUCAAGAAACGUUGAAGCGUAUAUUACGCAAAUAGUGUGAUUUUGCUUGACUGACACCGCUGUCACAGACCAGCCAGAUAUUAGGAAGCAGACGAAAUCAACUUUUCUUUUCUAACAACAAUAGAUAGAUGCGCCAUGGCCAGAGACACAAAUCAAAUCAAUAGAUAGAUUCUUCUGCUCUUUGCUCUGUGCAAAUACUCUUAUGUGAUAUGGAAUUUCAAGAAAAGUAAAAUCGUAAUUCUAAAGUGAUUGUUUUGUGCAUUUACACCACACACCACAUAAUAACUUCAACUUUGCUUUUACGUGUUUGGCGAUAGGGAUUCAAGUAUAGGAAGCGAUUUGUUCAUUUGUGAGAAGGAGAAUUGACAAUUGUUCUACAGGAAUGUAGUGGUACGUUGUUUUCCCCAUUACAAAUUCCCUGAUGCCACAGCUUGCACAACCAACCAACAGUGCAUUGGUGUUAAAAAACUGCUGAAAUCUAUCAACUAUUUCUCCUUUAUCCUCAUUUCUAAGAUUAUCCUUUAGUUCAUGAAGCAAUUGUUCAGUGACUUUCGGUGCCAUACCACUGCUGUAAAGAUUUCGAGUUGCCGAAAACCUUCCCAGUCCAGAAUUAGUUGCCAAAGCCAUAAGUGCAGUUAUUGGGUUUUUUUCAAAAUCAGCUAAUUGAUUAGCUGUUGGCGGUUCUUUCAAGUCCAGACUAAUCGUAUUUUCAGUUAAAAACUCCUCUGAUGAUUCCAAUAGAGAUAAUUCUCCUCCUGUUGCUACUUCAGUUAUAAUUUCAAUCACCAGAGCAUUGCUGUCCAUGUCUUGAACUUCUGAGGAUUCAUUUUGAAACUGCAAGCACAAUUAAAAUGGACUUUAUUGCUUUCUUAUCAUCAGAAUACUAACAAACAGACUAAUAUAUUUGGAAUCCUACCUCAAUUUCUAUGUCCACAUCAAUCAAUUGUUCUUCAGAUGGCGCCAAAUCAUUUGCAGAAAACAACUGCAUUAAUUGCGAAUUUAAGUAUUGUACGUUUUCAAAAUAAACCACAAAUUGGUUACCGAUAUUCGAUUUUCUUCCACUAAAUCAAAAUCUAAACGGCUGCAUUCCUCGCUUGCCGCCCUUUUCUGCGCCUUAUUAAUAAUCUUCUGCCUGUCUGGUGUGAAAGUACUUUUUUUCUUGCCUCUUUUCGGCAUUUUGAAUGAUUUCGCUCGUAAUGCUCAUGCGGAACUAAACAAAUUCCUACCUCAAUUUCUAACAAAUUUAUUAGUCCGUGUCAGAGGUACGCCAUCUAGCAGAUAAAUCCAUAAUAUAUGAAUGGAAUCACCAUUCCUAGAUGGCGUGUAAGUUUCGAGUUUGCUUCUUGAUGUUGUUUUUAAGUCUAGAAUUUGGUGUUACUUGGUGUUACGAAUUUCGUGAUACAGAUAUAUCGGCCGAAAUAUAGGUUUUCGAAAUGGCGAAGGCGUCCAUCGCCACACAGUGUUUCACACCUAAUUCAUGAUAAUAGAGUAAGAUCAUUCGCAUUUGAUUUCAUCACUAGUUUUUAGCCCUUGGUACUUUUUUCCCCCCUUCGAGCUGUGGUCGUGUGAUUUAUAAGUUCUGAAAAUUAUCUAAUGCAUAUUAUCUCACCAGCACGCCGGCCCGCUUUUCAGAUUGUAUCGUCCACCUUCUUUCCUUAUGGGAAAACAAGGUCCAGAAAUGUACUGGAAGACUUUGAAUCCAGGCCAGCAGCUGCAAAUAUCAAGCAGGUGCUGUUCUUAAGCUUUGAAGACAUUUUAAAAGCUCUUCAAACAACUGCAUCCGAGUCAUUGAACACAAGGCAACUUCACUAUCACAACAAUGAAAACAAUGUGGUCAAUGUUGCGAGAAACAUUUUUAUUAUGAAGAUUCGUUGAUGUUUGAAUUCCUUUUUUAAAAAAUUGUGUUCUGCUUCAUCACCUUAAUUUAAAUACGUUAACAGGGGUGGCCUUGCUGGCCAACAAUUUGUGUUUAAGCGUGUCACUGGACCAACGACUGAUCCUCUGGAAACGAGAAGACACUCGACUUAGAUGGCUCUCGCCCGUUUGCUGCGACAUAUCCGACAUUCAAGGUCUGGACGUGUCUGUGGGUGCCUCCAAAACUUCUUUGCCCAAAAUCCUGGUUUACGGUCAAGGUAUUCAAAUCUUUGAAGUGGACAACUUGUUCAACAUCACCGAACAUCACUCACAAAAUAGACUAUUCAUCUGUCGACCCGUUAUCCGACUAAGGUAAAAAGAAAAAUACAAAAUAUAUUUUGCAUGGCGCGCUCGUUGGGUAACAACUUUUUGAGUUGUCUUAUCUCUUUUGAAAUGAUUUCGGCGACGCUUUUAUUACUGUAAAUUGGCUCGACAUAUUGUGGAAUGAGGACUUCGAUUUAUUAAAUGAAAUUGUAUCUUGGUGUGCCAUUAACAAUUUUCCUUUUUUCAUUUUCUUGAUUUAUCCUCUGAAUUCUCAGGAAUGGCAACUGUAUCUUGCUCCUUUUUAGUCCUGAUCAAGUAAUCUUGAAUUUCUUGCGCUUGGCGGCAUACCGGUGAAAACUGCAAUAGAAAUGAAAAAUGUU
Molecule: long non-coding RNA, 2918 nt
Organism: Daphnia pulex (common water flea)
Lineage: Eukaryota; Metazoa; Arthropoda; Branchiopoda; Diplostraca; Daphniidae
Exons: 4
Source: RefSeq, a predicted model, not a curated record